GAUGAACGCUGGCGGCGUGCCUAAUACAUGCAAGUCGAACGGCCAGACAGGGAGCUCUCUCUUCUGCCGUUGGCGACGGGCGGGUGAGUAAUGCGUAGAUAGCCUUCCACUAUGUCUUGGGUGAUUUCGGGGAACCGGAGCUCCUAAUACCUCAUAUGUUGAACCGCUUGGUUCAUUGGAGAAAGACGGUUUUGCUGUUUCUUAUAGACGGAUCCGCGCUGCAUUGGCUAGUUGGUAAGGUAACGGCCUACCAAGGCGCCGAUGCGUAGCGGAGCUGAGAGGAUGAUCGGCCACACUGGAACUGAGACACGGUCCAGACGCCUACGGGAGGCAGCAGUGGGGAAUAUUCGGCAAUGGGCGAAAGCCUGACCCAGCAACACCGCGUGAGUGACGAAGGCCUUCGGGUUGUAAAGCCCUUUUGUUGGGGAAGAACAACUGUGGGUUAAAACAUGGCCGUCGUGACGGUACCUAAAGAAAAAGCAACGGCUAACUACGUG
Molecule: ribosomal RNA, 497 nt
Filed under: uncultured bacterium
Lineage: Bacteria
Description: partial 16S ribosomal RNA
Rfam family: Bacterial small subunit ribosomal RNA
Source: RNAcentral